Molecule: ribosomal RNA, 433 nt
Filed under: uncultured bacterium
Lineage: Bacteria
Description: partial 16S ribosomal RNA
Rfam family: Bacterial small subunit ribosomal RNA
Source: RNAcentral
AGCGAACGCUGGCGGCAGGCCUAACACAUGCAAGUCGAACGGAUCCUUCGGGAUUAGUGGCGGACGGGUGAGCAACACGUGGGAACGUGCCCUUUGGUUCGGAACAACUCAGGGAAACUUGAGCUAAUACCGGAUGUGCCCUUCGGGGGAAAGAUUUAUCGCCAUUGGAGCGGCCCGCGUCUGAUUAGCUAGUUGGUGAGGUAACGGCCCACCAAGGCUACGAUCAGUAAAUGGUUUGAGAGGAUGAUCAGCCACACUGGGACUGAGACACGGCCCGGAAUCCUACGGGAUGCAGCAGUGGGGAAUCUAGCGAAAUGGGCGAAAGCCUGACGCAGCCAUGCCGCGUGAAUGAUGAAGGUCUUAGGAUUGUAAAAUUCUUUCAGCGGGGACGAUAAUGACGGUACCCGCAGAAGAAGCUCCGGCUAACUUCGUG